AUGACACUGACAAUCUAGCCUAGCGUACGGAGGGGAAUUCAGUUGGCGGACAUCAAUCGCACUGAUAUGGAUUGCUCAGCCUUACGUUGCCCUUCCAAAGAAUCUCAGGAAGGCGCCGCGUAACACUACGUCUGCCUCUAUGUGAAGCCCAAAGCGACAGAAUUCCGAAGAAAGUCCAUACUACUACUCUUUCUCCAGAUUUUCAUUACUUUCUCAAUUCCUCUUCUAUUUUCCUUAAAUCUCUUCCGAUCUUCUCUCCUGCGUCUGAGUUUAUGUGCUUCGCCGAAAAAGUUAUCAGGUUAGUUAUGUUUUGCCUGGAAUUUCGCUUCCUUUACCCCAACUUUUGUGUAUUUCUCUGAGAAUAAGGGUCUUAUAUGUGUUUGAGAAAGUUCUUCAAUGAAUCAGACUUUCUAUUCAAUUUCUAUUAUUGUUUUUGGAUUUAGUUUCUUGCUUUGAUCGGGCGAAGAAUAGUUUAAUAAUUUUGAUUUUGGAUAAACGGUGCGCCGAACAGGGAUAGAUUUUGAGGUUCUUGCGUGUGGUAUGUCGAUUUCAUUGUUUUUGGUUCUCUAACGUGUUUGAUUUUAUUAUUAAGAAUUGAAUUUUAUGAUUUGCCGGUAAACUCUUUGGAAUGGAUUUUACUAUUUUUAGCAGAAGUAGAAGGGACUAUCAGUUCAGGAUUUUACUAUUUUUAGCAGAAGUAGAAGGGACUAUCAGUUCAGGUACGAACAUAAUUGAACUAGAAUAUGAGAAAUUGCCUCAAUGGACUAUAUUUUCUUUAGAUAUACAAAGUAGGGAAGGUAUUUAUGUUGCAGCUGUUAGUUCUAUUUCACAAAAAAACUAACGGGAGGAUAUAACUUGCUAAUCUAUAUAUAUUGAAGGCCAUAAGAGAGGUAAUGUGGCACUUUAUUAGGCUAGAAUUCCUAUUUAUCUUUUACCUCCAUUUUUUAGGCUUUCCCCCCCUUUAUUUUUUAUUUUAAUUUAAUUUUAAUGUAAUAUUUUAAAAGUCGAAAAGUCACCUCAUUAAUUCUCUAUAUAAUUGUACCUGUUCAGACUACUAAAAUCCUAAAAGUCACUAUUAGAUAAACAACGUUACUCUAUAAGAAUUAAAGUAAUAAUUAUUAUUUAUCCUUGUGAUUUUAUGUGUAGUUUAUUUCUUUUUCUUGGACUAGGAAGGAAAGGAGGUACAUUGCAGCGUUGUGGGUAACAGGUAUCAAUAUUUAUUCCACUCGUAUGUUAAAACCAGUACAAUAGUUGAUAAUUGACAGUAUUAAGAUCACUUGGUGCAGAGCAGUUCUUCACUUCUUGGAUAUGACAGCAAAUGUGACCAAGAGAUUCUUGGUGAUGAGAAUUGGGAGUUGCCUUGCUCUAUUCGACGUCUUUGGGUAUCCAAUCUGAAAACAUUAAGCAGCCAAGUUAUCAAAAGCCUCACCUCACUUGAAUUUCUAUUUACUUACAAUUUACCUCAAAUUCAGUCACUGCUAGAAGAAGAUCUUCCCUCGUGUCUUUCUCAUCUAACAUUAAAUGAUCAUCAUGAGCUCCAUUCACUACAAACCGAAGGUCUUAGGCGCCUCACUUCGCUUCGAAGCCUAAAGAUAUACCACUGCCAUCAACUCCAAUCCAUUCCAGAAUCAGCCUCCCUCUUUGAGUUGUUUAUUGAAAACUGCCCUAAUCUCCAAUCUCUUCAAGUAAAAAGAAAACCGUCCGUCCUCUCUCUGCUGCAUAUCUGUCACUGUGGUAAUCUCCAACCUCUUCCAGAAUCAGCGCUGCCUUCCUCCCUAUCUAAGCUGUUUUCUUUCAUUGCCCUAAACUCCAUUCUCUUCCUGUAAAAGGGAUGCCCUCUUCCAUCUCUACACUAUGGAUUCACAACUGUCCAUUGCUCAAACCAAGUCUAGAAUUUGAGGAGGGGGAUUACUGGCCAAAUAUUUCUCAAAUUCCCACCAUAAAAGUCGAUGAGGAAUACCUCUAAUGAUUAUGACGAGUGGUGCUCUGAUAAAUUGAGUUGAGAUGGUUCACUCCUGAGAUUUGAUCUGUCUUCUGGGACUUAAAUGUCUAAGUGAAGAAAGGAUUCUGGCAUCAGUACAAAGUUUGCUAGAUCAGAUGUUGCUCAAUAUGGGAAGGAAAAGAUGGGUAGAGAGUUGUCAAGGUUCACUCCUAUAGGAAUACGGGGACUAGUUUUGAAAUAUUCCAGAGACCUUUUUUCCCCACUCAAUGUGGUAGUACGAGGAUGUAGUUCAACUUUUGGACUAUAAUUAAAGAAUGUUUUCCCAUUUAUUGGUUAGGUAAUUAAGGAGUUCAUUUGAUCAAUAUGGUAGUAAGACGAUAAAGCUCAAGAUAAUCUGAAGCCUUCAGAAGAAAGGGAAGAUUUUUAAAUUUUAAUUUAGUUUCUCCAAGUGCUAAGCGAUUAGACAAACCUCUGUCUUCGUAUAACCAAAAUAUGAAUAUAUGAAGGAAGAAACUCUUUACUCGCUCAAGUAGUAUAUUCAAAUUGAAUAACUCAGUCUCUUAUAUCUUGGAACAUUGUGGUAACUUGUGUGAUUUAAAUACAUUAUACAACUAUAACAAAAGGAGCAUUGUUAUUUGUAUUUAAAUUUACAGUAAAGUUUGAACAAAAGAGUUCUUAUUUUGGGAUCACAACUCAGUGGUGUUGUUCCAUGUGCAUGAGUGAUAACUAACCUUCCUCAAGUCCGAAAAAUGCUGAUAACUUGUGUUUACUGACACAUUGUGCUAAAAGAUGUGCAUAAAGUUUCCUCUUUGGUGGUUGAGGUUAGAUAAAGAAAACAUAUUCUACUUUUAACUUGUUUCCUCUCUUUGUGAAACUCCUGUAGUACCAAAGAGUGUGAAACAUAUAUUGCGGUGCAUUUCUGAAAUAACUAAAUAAAUAUGUUUCGCGUUGAAAGUAGGAGAUAUGUCUCAACUAUGACUAUCAUUUGAAAGUAGAGUCAAAUGUUUGGAAUCACAAUCUCCAUGCUUAUAAGUUCGAGUCUUCAGAAGACAUUUAAAGCAUGAAUGUGCAGUACGCCCACCAGGUAGAAUAGAAGCAGCAACACCAGAAGUCACAAGAAACUUUUUCUUCAUAUGCUUAUUUGGAAUUUACAUCUAAUACUAACAAUUGUUGUGACCAUGAAAACAUAUAGUUGCUUUAGCUGCAUUUUGAUAUAAGUACAUAUACUUCUCGCACUUGAAUACGCAUUUCAUAUUAUGUGUUCUGCUCAUGAAGACAAACAAAGCUCUUCUUUUACACUUUAUUCUCAAUUUGAGUUACUGGAAUCUUGCUAUGGGCAAAGUGCCAGUGUAUAAUUUUACUUUCUGUAACCAAUCUUUCUUAUAGUUACUUUUGGAAUUCUUUGUUAAAAUCAUUGUAUACUUUAGGUUGGACUAUAACAAAGAAAAGAUAGAGACAGCGAGUGACACAGUGAUUGGAAACAAGUAGUAUUUCGGUUAUGUUGUAUGACAAAAGCUACUGUUACUGCACAAAAUACUCAUGCUCAAUUAUGUUUUAUUUGUAUUGCAAGGUUAACGAUAAAAUUUUGGACAAGCUCUAAACUUUGUUGCUUAAGAGGCCAACGUAAUUUGUAUUCUGCUUAUUGCUUAAGAGAAAAUAUAGUUGUUUUGCACUCUGCUUAGAUAAAAUCUGAAUAUACUACAUAGAUGUUGGGACCGGGCAUACCGAAGUUGGUCGACCAAGGGUAGUUUCGAAAUUCCGCAUAUAUUAAGGGAUAAAUUGGUAAUUCUGCCACUUAUGCCAUAGAUACAUCUUUGCAUAUUCCGUAGCUAUCAAUAUCUCUCUCUAUAAGAAGCACUCCCUCAAUCUCUCUCUUCAUAAGCAAACAUACUUCUUCAUCCUAAGGUGCUUCUUUUCUUUUUUCAAUUAUUGUUAUGUUUUUGUCUGCUUCGUAUUCUCUAUCUCUGUUUCACAAGCCAUAUAUGUAGGUUAUAGUUUCCAAAGGGCAACAAUGCAGACGAAGAAGAUAAAUUUUUCAGAAAUUGAGUAUACUAAAGGAGCCAGUCUUCCCUAUAUCGUGACAAAGAAAUAACAAAUAUUGAAGUAGACUAUGCACAUAUGGUAUUUGAUGAUAUGCCUUACCCAUCUAAUGUUGUUGUGUGCUUACUAAUUCCUUUGAGCAUUUGCUUUUACUAUUUUGUUUCUUUUUUUGAUGUUGUUAUUUAUUUACACUUUUUAUACAUCGAAUCUAAAAAAUGAUGCACUUUUUUAUCGAAACAGUUUGUGUAUUUACCUUUUGAUC
Non-coding RNA from Nicotiana tabacum (common tobacco), 4244 nucleotides. The record is from RefSeq and is a predicted model, not a curated record. Lineage: Eukaryota; Viridiplantae; Streptophyta; Magnoliopsida; Solanales; Solanaceae.